Molecule: non-coding RNA, 78 nt
Organism: Flavobacterium frigoris PS1
Lineage: Bacteria; Pseudomonadati; Bacteroidota; Flavobacteriia; Flavobacteriales; Flavobacteriaceae
Source: Rfam
GUCUAGCCCCGAUGGGAGCAUGUAUCCUUUUUGUGCUGGGGUUCAGCACAAAAGAUACUGUGGAAAGCGGGAGGGAAG